RNAcentral lists this ribosomal RNA (532 nucleotides) under Australoheros facetus (chameleon cichlid). RNAcentral describes it as "partial small subunit ribosomal RNA". It matches the Rfam family "Bacterial small subunit ribosomal RNA", at positions 657 to 1402 of the family's 1533-position model. The record is from RNAcentral. Lineage: Eukaryota; Metazoa; Chordata; Actinopteri; Cichliformes; Cichlidae.
UAAAGCCGAACACCUUCAGAACUGUCAUACGUUUCCGAAGGUAUGAAGCCCUACCACGAAAGUGGCUUUAUUCCCCCUGACCCCACGAAAGCUGUGAAACAAACUGGGAUUAGAGACCCCACUAUGCCCAGCCCUAAACUCUGAUAGUACCCUACACCCACUAUCCGCCAGGGAACUACGAGCAUUAGCUUAAAACCCAAAGGACUUGGCGGUGCUUUAGAUCCACCUAGAGGAGCCUGUUCUAGAACCGAUAACCCCCGUUAAACCUCACCCUCUCUUGCCAUUUCCGCCUAUAUACCGCCGUCGUCAGCUUACCCUAUGAAGGCAUUAUAGUAAGCAAAACUAGUAUAACCCAAAACGCCAGGUCGAGGUGUAGCAUAUGAGAGGGGAAGAAAUGGGCUACAUUCCCUGUCUCCCCGGGAACACGAACAGUGUAAUGAAAAGUACAUUAGAAGGAGGAUUUAGCAGUAAGCAUAAAAUAGAGUGUUUUGCUGAAACUGGCCCUGAAGCGCGCACACACCGCCCGUCACCC